CAGAGGCAGAGAUUGGAGUGAGGCUUCCACAAGCCAAGGAACACCAAGGAUUGUCGGCCUGCAGCAGAAGUAUGCUGCCACAGCAUGGCUUGAUAUGUGGUGUGUAGGCCCUUGCAUGGGAUCUGAACCUGUGGACCGUGGGCCGCCGAAGUGGAGCGUGCAAACUUAACUACUAAGCCACCAGGCACAGAACAACGCUCAAGCAGUAAGGAAAAAAAGUUCCAUCCUCUCUUCUCCCAGCUUAUUUGCAGCUGGAGUCGUGAAAGAUAUUCACCUCAAGUCACCUACCAUUCAAGCUGACUCUGCACCAAAACAAUACUAUCUACAGAUGCUCUGAGAGGAAGAGAAGCUGCCCGCCAAUACAAGGAGGAGGAGCAGCCAGUGAUGCACCUAAAUGGACAGGCAUUACAGAGGCCAAAAGAAUGCAAAUGACGUUUUAAAGCCAAGGCCUCAUGGGGAAGCUUUCAAAUUUUUCUUUAAAAAUCUGGCUGAUUAGUAGAGUUGAAUUUUAACAAUCAGCAAGUAAAUUUGCGACAAACCCCUACGUGAGUCUGAGUCUACCUUUAUC
This 568-nucleotide long non-coding RNA is filed under the name Equus caballus (horse). Its description in RNAcentral is "lncRNA (ENSECAG00000048967.1)". Lineage: Eukaryota; Metazoa; Chordata; Mammalia; Perissodactyla; Equidae. The record is from RNAcentral.